RNAcentral lists this long non-coding RNA (1345 nucleotides) under Anser cygnoides (Swan goose). Its description in RNAcentral is "lncRNA (ENSACDG00005012955.1)". The record is from RNAcentral. Lineage: Eukaryota; Metazoa; Chordata; Aves; Anseriformes; Anatidae.
GAUCAUCUCUCCUGUCUGUGGAACUGUUAAGUAAAAUUAAUAAAGAAAAGGUUAAAAGUUGAAUUUUGCCCUUCUCCACCAGACCACAAAGAUACCUAGGAUACAGGACUGUAAACACAAAGAAAAUAAGCUCUGAAAACUGUAUAUAUUCAUAUUAGUUGUGGUGCAGAUUUUUUGCAUGGUCACAUUUAAAUCCUAUUAACUGAAAUACAAUGUAAACUCAUUUGUAUUAAUGUAUGCCAGUGUGCAGGCAUAUAAGCAUGCCAGAGAACAUGUACUGAGAGCACUGCAGCUUCUUGUCGAAUUAUCUGGCACAGACAUCAAAGAAAAAAGUCAAAGACAUUGACCCAAGACAGAUGAGAGAGUUGUUGUCGUCCCAGGAAGUGAAUCCACUGGGACUGCAGUAUCCGUCAGUCAUGGUCCUCAGUAGGUGUGUGGCUAGAGCUCAGCUCUUCUUUAGGUUGUAUAUUGGUUUGUCUGAAGGUCCAGUGUAUCUUCUAUUUGUUUGCUAGUGAACUGCGUGAAUGUUUGAUGAAAACAAGCCUGGAAACUGGGGGAAAGGAAAGGGAGUUGGGUCUAAGUGUGAAAGAUUGUUUCACACUGAGAGUGAGGUGCCACUGUGCCUAAUUUACCUGCAGGUGUAACAGGCAGAGUAAAAUUUACUUGUGCUUGCUGUUCUGUGUUUUUGUGCAGGCAGCACUGUCCUUGUGCUUUGGCCUAUUUCACCUUUACCUGUCUCCAUUCUGGGCACAACAGUGGUCUGUGGAAUACACAGGAGGAGCAUUACAGGCCAUGAUUUGUCGUUGCGGCCUGUAUCGAAGGUGGAGACAGAUCACAGAGACAGCACCCAUGGGCAUGCAACUUUCCCAUCUCCUGUCCUCCUGCAGCAUGAUGUUGUGCCCAAAAGCACUGGAAAAGGUCUCCACCAGCCACAACAAUGUAAGAUCUUGUUAAGGGAGGCAUACCUUGCUAGUGGGAACCGGGGAUCUGACCUGAACUCCAACUUAAUGCAAGAUUUUGUCCAGCAUAUCCCAUCGAGGCCCAGGAACACAUGCUUUGCAGCAGCAGAUGUUCCAGGAAAACAACAAUUUUGAUGAAACCCAGAGAAAGAGAGCCUACCACUUUCUUUAAUAAUAUAUAAUAAUAGCAAUUAAUCUCACUGUUUAAAGGUGUAUUUUUUAUUUAAAUAUUUUUAUAGGCUUUAUUUCCUCUUUUUUGUCCGUGUUAUUAUAUUUUCAUAUCUGACCACUUCUCAUACUCAUCAGUAGGCUGACACCAUCCUGUACCAGGUUAUCAUUCUUAAUGAUAAAAUAAAUGAUUUGCCAUAAGAAAAAUAAUUCUAAAA